Molecule: ribosomal RNA, 372 nt
Filed under: uncultured Glomeromycotina
Lineage: Eukaryota; Fungi; Glomeromycota
Description: partial 18S ribosomal RNA
Rfam family: Eukaryotic small subunit ribosomal RNA
Source: RNAcentral
UUAAUUUGGUGUUGCAGGGAAACAGGACUGUUACUUUGAAAAAAUUAGAGUGUUUAAAGCAGGCUAACGCUUGAAUACAUUAGCAUGGAAUAAUGAAAUAGGACGUUUGAUCCUAUUUUGUUGGUUUCUAGGAUUGACGUAAUGAUUAAUAGGGAUAGUUGGGGGCAUUAGUAUUCAAUUGUCAAAGGUGAAAUUCUUGGAUUUAUUGAAAACUGACUACGGCGAAAGCAUUUGCCAAGGAUGUUUUCAUUAAUCAAAAACGAAAGUUAGGGAAUCGAAAACAAUCAAAUACCGUCGUAUUCUUAACCAUAACCUAUCCCGACAAGGGAUCGAAUGAUGUUAAUUUUUUAGGGACCCCCCCUCCCCCCCCUA